CUUUUAGCAAAUUCCUACACUCAAAAUAAUCUGGAGCACGAGAUCUCCAACCUGAAGGGCCAGAUCAAAACACUGCAAGGCUCAGUGGAGAAGUUGGAGGGAGAACUCCAUGAGACCCAGCAGAUAUGUGAAGAGAAACUGAAGAGUCAGGAGACUGAGCUGAUGGAGCUGGAGGACAGAAGAAGAGGAACGUGGAGGAGCUGCUCUUUCAGGUAGCCAGAGCAUUCAAGAAGGAAAGCAAGGUGAGUGAGAAAAGCCUCACAUUAAAAUGACCUUUCAAACAGAGUGAAAUGGACCAUUGCAGAUGUGAACAUUAAGCCCUACAUGGUGUGUUUUAGGAGCGGGAGCAAGAGCAUCAGAAUUACUGCGACCUUAUGGCCAGUUACAAAUACAUUAAGGUAAGCUUUUCUUCUCUUCAUUUUAAUGUCAUGUAAUGUUAAUUGUGUAGUUCCUGUUUGCUAAUGUUUGGCUCCAGUCCCUAUUCACGUACAAUAAAAGCAGUCUUUGGGAGCAGAAUCCACAAUUGUAAGUGUUUGUGGAGUUGCAGUGGGAAAUGAAAGGUAAGAACACAGAUAGUGUAAAAUCAUUCAAAUGUAAUAAAUGAUUGAACAGCAUUGAUGUGGUCACUCUGUGUGCAGUAAUAAUAUCAAGAAUUAAUUUUACAAAAUCUAUCAGAUAUUGUACAUUGAUUUUGUGAAUUAGGGAAUAGUCUUUACAAAUGUUUUAACAUAAACCUUUUAGCAGACAUGAAUGGAGUGAUGUGGUGGGACAUAUUAGAGGAGAUUUUAAUCUCAUUGGCCAAGAUACUGAAUCUGGGGAGAAUGUUUCAACAAGACAAUAACCCUCUAAAUACAGCCAAAAUAACUCAAGAAGGUUUAGCCAAUCUACUGAAUUGAAUCCCAUUGAAAAUGUAAAGAAUUGAAGAUGAAUUGCUGAGAGGAACUGGACAAAACUGAACCACAAUCCUGCAGAAAGAUGAUUAGUUCUUACUGUAUAUGUCUCAAAGCUGUAAUUGCUAAUGAUGGCUUUGCAAUAAAGUAUUAAUGUUGGUAAUUUGUAAUGUCUGAAAGCCAUUAUCAAUUUCAUUCCCUCAGGAAAGGCUGGAGCACGAGAACUCCAACCUGAAGGACCAGGUCAAAACACUGCAAUGCUCAGUGGAGAAGCUGGCGGGACAACUCCAUGAGACUCACCACAGGCAUGAACAGAAAUUGGAGGUCUCUCUGGCUGAAGCUCAGAAGAAUGCUGAGAACACUCAGGACUGCAGAACUCAGCUGGAGAAUGAGAUG
Long non-coding RNA from Ictalurus furcatus (blue catfish), 1286 nucleotides. RefSeq lists it as uncharacterized. The transcript has 3 exons. The record is from RefSeq and is a predicted model, not a curated record. NCBI's taxonomy places the organism in Eukaryota, Metazoa, Chordata, Actinopteri, Siluriformes, Ictaluridae.